UAUAGCCGACCCCAAAUUUUUGAGUUAAAGGCUUAGUUGAGUUGAAUUGCUAUUUCCUCAUCCAGCUCCCCCUUUCCAUGACUAUUGCAAACAAAUAAUCUAUCUCCUGCAAGGAAUCCACCAUCUGCAGUGUCCAAUCCUGCUCCAUAGUCAAUAAGGUCCUGUGUAUCUUUGAGUUUGGCUUUCUUCUACUUGACACCCUGAACAAAAUCUGGUGAACUGUCACCUUACCAGGUUGAUCCACUUUUGGUGCAGUACUGUUUUCUACUUCCUACAACUUUGUUUAUGCACUUCUGAGUUUUCCUUGAACACUUGACAUAGCUUUUCAAGAACCAUGUGAUGUUCCUCUCAAGAAUACCUCCAUCCACUCUGAUAAGAGUGAAAUUGGUGAUGCUUAAUUGGUAAUUUCAGUUUCUCUUGUUGGUUUCAUCUGUUCUCACUGUUCUUGGUUUGGGUUUCCUUUGGUGUUGGUGUCAUAAUGAUGGUUCCCUUUCGCAGAUCUUAGUAGCUUUUCAGUCAGUUGGCGAUUGAUUAGGUCUUUGCCUAAUGCUGUGAGCGAUGCUAUUUAAGGACAAAUAGGAAAAGAAGAGCUUUUUAAUUUUUGUUGUCUACAAACUUUGAAUAGGAACAGAGCGAUGCUGAUUUGGUAUGCAAUUGAUUUUUUUUUUUACCCAUGACUUUCUGGAGGUUAAUAUCUGAUAAAAUUUGAUAUGUGACUCAAUGUAAUGGAUGGUGGAUAUAUAUAUAUAUAUAUAUCAG
RNAcentral lists this unclassified non-coding RNA (759 nucleotides) under Hevea brasiliensis (rubber tree). The record is from RNAcentral. Lineage: Eukaryota; Viridiplantae; Streptophyta; Magnoliopsida; Malpighiales; Euphorbiaceae.